Drosophila melanogaster (fruit fly) is the source of this 369-nucleotide non-coding RNA. The record is from Ensembl. NCBI's taxonomy places the organism in Eukaryota, Metazoa, Arthropoda, Insecta, Diptera, Drosophilidae.
AUUCUUCUGCUUACGUUAAAGUUCUAUAAACUUAUCUUCGUUCUUUAAUUAGAUUUCCAUCGUCUGGGUUAAGAAAGAUUUCCGACCUCCUUCGAGACCAUCGAACUUUCAGUUAGCUGAUUACUUUGACACAGCCAUGAGUACUUCAUGUACAUCGUCACCGAUCGCAUUAUCUCUAUAGCCCUUAUUUACUCACUCUCAUCCCAAGCCCGAUGCUCUUCAUCAUUCCCAACUAGAGUGAUUAUUUUUAGUGCAGCUGAAGGUCAUGAUAAAUGACACCAAAAGUAUCAAAAUACAAACAAAAAUUAUGUACACAUCGAAAAAUAAGAUUGCACCACAUUCCGAUAUGUUUCGUUGUAUGCUCUAAAU